UCUAAUAGUUUUUUUAUUUUUUUUUUAAAUUCUUUCAUAACUCUUGAUUACAAUUUUUUAAUAAUUGGUCAACAGUUGGUAAAGGGAGAUUACUCUGACACCAAUGUUGCUAACUAAAACAAAACAAUCAUCUGGCAUUUCUUGUUGCUCAAGACCCCUUAAUUUACUUUAAUAUUUACACUCUAAACUAGAAAGAAUCAUAAAUACUAAUAAUGAAAUCAGCUUUGCUUUAUAAUAUUCCUGGAGUCGGCAGUUACAAUCUGUUAGGUGAUCAUCAUGGUCCUAUUAAAGACUUGGAACUGAACAGAACAAGAUCCCUUAACAGAUUAGAUCAAAGUGGAAGGACAUAUAAAGACAUAGAAUGUCGGCCUCAUCAUUUCUUUCUGGAUUCAAUGAUAACCGUCUCAUCUUGCUUUGUUGCUUUUAAUUGUUCAGUUAAUUCAUACCCAGUAACAGCUCGCCUAUAGUCGGUGGACUCUGUGACAUAUUUAGAAAUGAAGUCAACUAUCUCAAGAUUGGAUGAAGAAGUUACAUAUUUAGAAAAUACAAAAGCUAGCCUGGAAAUGGAGAGGGAUAGCAUCUCUUCCAGUAUGAUGGAGGAGCGAGAAAAGUUUCAUAAUGAAUGUUCAGUACUGACAUCUUCAAUCUUAGAAUUACAGACCACAGUAACAAACUCUGAAGGCAAGAACAAUGUCUUGAAUAAAACUGUACUAGAACUGCAAUCUAAAAAUGCUCAUUUAGAAAAUGAUAUGAAUAUCAUUUCUUCCCAGCUAGAUGCUGAGAGAGUCAAGUCAGCAAAAAAGAAUUUUGAGCUUAAGUCGACCAUAUCUGCAUUUCAAGAAGAAUCUCAGCCAGAAAAAGACCAAUUGAAAAUGACCAUAUCUGCAUUGCAAGAAGAAUCUCAGUCAGAAAAAGACCAAUUGAAAAUGACCAUAUCUGCAUUUCAAGAAGAAUUUCAGGUAGAGAAAGACCAGUUGAAAAUGACCAUAUCUGCAUUACAAGAAGAAUCUCAGGCAGAGAAAGACCAUUUGAAAGCUACCAUAUCAGAAUUACAGAACGACACCAUAGAAUUAAAAGAGAAAUUAGAUUACACUAAGCAAGAGUCUCAAACUGUUUUGUCUCAACUGCAUAAAGAAAGGGAGUCUCUAAACUCAUACAAAUUAGAAAACUCACAGAUGAAACAACUAUUUUGAAUAAAGAGAAAGAAAUAGCAGAUUUGAAAGCUGAAAUUAGAAAUCUAGCUAAUACUUUAGUGGAAUCAGAAUACAUUAGAAAUGACCUUGAGAAAGGCUUAGCUGAUGAAAGGGAACAAUUCAAGAAAGAAUGCUCCGUUUUGAAAUCAGUAGCAGAACUGACGCAGAAGCUUGAGCACUGUGAGAAUGAGAGAAGUAACUUUGAAUCAAACAAUACAGGAGCUCAAGACUAUGAUUGUCCAUUUGGAAAAAGACAAGGAGGCUUUGUCAUCACAGCUGGAAGAAAACUGGAAACGGAUUAAAAAAAUAGAGCCUUUCAGAGAUGUCUUGGAUAAUUUUCAAAUGGAAAAAAAAUUCUUGUUGGAUAGAGACAAAUAUACAAGUGAGCAAAUGGAAAGAUUGACCAAAGAAGCCAUUAAAAACAUGGGUCAUCAAAACCAUCGCCAGAAAGUCAAAUAUGUGAAGACUUUAAAAAAGAUUGCUCCGGUGAUUGCUACUGCACAAUGUGACUCUUCCAAAAUGACACAGACACCUGGUGAACCAAGAAUUCCUUUUAAAGGAAAAAAAAUGCUGUCUGAAUCUGAGUGCAUGUGCCCAGUAUGCAUUAGCUUAAUCAUCCAACCUGUAACAUUCCCCUGCAAUCACUAACUGUGUUUAAAAUGUUACAAGGAAACAGUGGAAAAAGCCAACCUCUCAUGUCCAGUCUGCAGGAAGCGCAUUUCAGUUUGGGCCAGAAAAGCUGCCAAGGAAAAUAAAUUGAUAAAUUGAUAAACAUGGAAAAGUGGACAGACAUCCAAGAGGCCUUCCCUGAAAAAGUGAGGCGCAGGCUGGAAGCCAGUGAAGAAAGCGACAGUGAAGAUGAUGAAGAUGAUUUUGAAGCCAAUUCAGCAAAAAAAAGGACGAACAGGCAAAGAAAGAGGAGGAGGCCAGUAAAGUAAAUUUUGAAGCUCUGCAACAGGAAGAAUUUUUGUCAGAGAAAGUGGAAAUAGAAGAGAAAGCACUGAUGCUUGAAAAG
This is an RNA transcript of Biomphalaria glabrata, 2208 nucleotides long. It is a transcript of the gene named hyaluronan mediated motility receptor-like, with no coding region annotated. Lineage: Eukaryota; Metazoa; Mollusca; Gastropoda; Planorbidae. The transcript is spliced from 9 exons. The record is from RefSeq and is a predicted model, not a curated record.